This 279-nucleotide ribosomal RNA is filed under the name uncultured bacterium. RNAcentral describes it as "partial 16S ribosomal RNA". It matches the Rfam family "Bacterial small subunit ribosomal RNA", at positions 506 to 784 of the family's 1533-position model. The record is from RNAcentral.
UGCCAGCCGCCGCGGUAAUACUGAAGGUCCAAGCGUUAAUCGGAAUCACUGGGCUUAAAGCGUACGCAGGCGGAUUUGUAGGUAUCUUGUGAAAUCCCACGGCUCAACCGUGGAACUGCAGGGUAAACCACAAAUCUUGAGACAAGUAGGGGUCAGUGGAACUAUGAGUGGAGCGGUGAAAUGCGUAGAUAUUCAUGGGAACGCCAAUGGCGAAGGCAACUGACUGGGCUUGUUCUGACGCUCAGGUACGAAAGCGUGGGUAGCGAACGGGAUUAGAUA